Pezoporus occidentalis (night parrot) is the source of this 992-nucleotide long non-coding RNA. RefSeq lists it as uncharacterized. The record is from RefSeq and is a predicted model, not a curated record. Lineage: Eukaryota; Metazoa; Chordata; Aves; Psittaciformes; Psittacidae. The transcript is spliced from 2 exons.
AGCAGCACACCCCUGUGACCUGCCCCAACUACUGAACCGAAGACCUUUUUUCCUAUGAACUAUGUAGGUACCAAGCUGAAGAGUGCUCUGGAAGCCUGUUGAAACUAUCCUGUGCUAAUGGUGCCAGCUUCACAGACACACAAAUGAUCAGAUUUUACAAGAGAAGUCAAUGUCAGAAUUUAAAAACUCAGUAAUAGCACAUGGCUGAAGCUCUGAGCACUCCAAAACAGGAAUAGGGAUUUAUGAGCUGUUGUGUAAUAAAAGUGGAAUGGUAUAAAUAAACUAUCUGCAAAGCUGUUAUGGAGCUUUGGGUGUGCUGCUUUGUGAUGCAGAUGCUGUUUAGGCAGGACCAGGAGUAGCACAGUUCAUCUCUGUACCUGUAGCUUUAUUUAUUUCAAAUUAGGCGUAAAAACCCCAAACCCACUUGGUUCUCUGAAUAAGGAGCAUUAGGAAGAGGUUAUGCACUUUCCAGGUGAUUGGCUUUGCAUACAUUCGUACAGCCCAGUGUGCAGAGACGGAAAUAAAUGCCCUUGUUUUAAAAAUACCUGUAAAAAACUCAAGAUGGAGGAUCCAAUGCAAAUUCUGUGAAGGGGAAAAAAGCAGCUUAUGGUGCAAGUAAAGCUACAUGGCUGUGAGUAACCAUGGAGACCAAUGCUUUUCUGCUGCAGAAAUAAAUGAACUCAACCUUUUCAUAUUUAUUAGUGGGGCUGAUGAUGAAAGAUACAGUCAAAUUAAAACAUAAAGCACUAGAAGUCAGAUGUAGUCACUGUCUCUGCCCCUGCAAUGCAGGUUACUGUAAUGGAUUAUUAUAAACGAGCUGGUGUUACAGUGAGGCAGAUAAGUUAUGAGAGGAACAGAAGACACUAGUUAUACCAACCUGUUAAUCCAAGUAGCGGCUGCUUUAUUAACAGAAAUGAAGAGACGGUUCACACAACAAACUCCUGAAAUCUUUUGGUUUUGAUAAAAAUGGAAAUAAACUUGUUUUAAUGCCA